UCCGGCGGCUCCGCGGUACUUCGCCGGGCUGACCUCCGGGGCGGUCCGCGAACACUUCAGCCAUUAGCAGUGCUCUGUGCCACACAGCAUAAGCAGUGAAUGUGCAAAAUCCCCUGCGCACGAAACCGUCCUUCAGCCCUCUCCCUCAGGGUCCUGCCUGGGAGAUCUAGCACCACAAAGAAAGAAAAAUUACCAGGACACAAUCGAAGUCUCCAGUAUCGACCCCUCGGCAUGUGGAGCUUGAAGCCUUGUGUGGCUUGUUUAUGGCAUUCUUGGAAAAACAGACCCAGUGACUCUUUGGGCAGGAGCUGUAUGGGGAGGAAGAAAAUAAGAAGGGCUAGUCUGUUAGCCUGGGGAUGGUGUUUCUCCCGCUGAGGUCUCAGUGUGGUCUUCUGUAAAACCCUUAGCAAUCAAAGGCACCUGACAAGUCCGGCGUGUUGGGCAUGUGGCUAGACUCCCAGCGUGUGGAAAGUAGAAUCAGAGUGUCAGAAGUUCAGUGGCCAGGGGGCUGGAGAGAUGGCUCAGUGACUAACUGAAUGCUCUUCUAGAGUCUUGAGGUCAAUUCCUAGCAACCACAUGGCUCACAACCAUCUGUAAUGAGAUCUGAUGCCCUCUUCUGGUAUAUCAAAAGACCGCUACAGUGUACUCAUAUACAUA
RNAcentral lists this long non-coding RNA (657 nucleotides) under Mus pahari (shrew mouse). RNAcentral describes it as "lncRNA (MGP_PahariEiJ_G0002949.1)". The record is from RNAcentral. Lineage: Eukaryota; Metazoa; Chordata; Mammalia; Rodentia; Muridae.